RNAcentral lists this ribosomal RNA (318 nucleotides) under Enterobacter cloacae. RNAcentral describes it as "partial 23S ribosomal RNA". It matches the Rfam family "Bacterial large subunit ribosomal RNA", at positions 1078 to 1395 of the family's 2925-position model. Lineage: Bacteria; Pseudomonadati; Pseudomonadota; Gammaproteobacteria; Enterobacterales; Enterobacteriaceae. The record is from RNAcentral.
GGAAGGCCCAGACAGCCAGGAUGUUGGCUUAGAAGCAGCCAUCAUUUAAAGAAAGCGUAAUAGCUCACUGGUCGAGUCGGCCUGCGCGGAAGAUGUAACGGGGCUAAACCAUGCACCGAAGCUGCGGCAGCGACACUCUGUGUUGUUGGGUAGGGGAGCGUUCUGUAAGCCGUUGAAGGUGGCCUGUGAGGGCUGCUGGAGGUAUCAGAAGUGCGAAUGCUGACAUAAGUAACGAUAAAGCGGGUGAAAAGCCCGCUCGCCGGAAGACCAAGGGUUCCUGUCCAACGUUAAUCGGGGCAGGGUGAGUCGACCCCUAAG